RNAcentral lists this non-coding RNA (220 nucleotides) under Bradyrhizobium sp. The record is from RNAcentral. Lineage: Bacteria; Pseudomonadati; Pseudomonadota; Alphaproteobacteria; Hyphomicrobiales; Nitrobacteraceae.
GCUACAUAUAGGGGUCAUGGUUCCACUGUUUCGCAAGAUUUAGUGGCUAAGAGGGAAGCCGGUGAACUGCGUUCCGACGCGGAAUUCCGGCGCUGCCCCCGCAACUGUCAGCAGCGAGCUGCUUCCGAACAUCGUCACUGAGGUCAUUAAAGGCCUCGGGAAGGCGGGAAGCAUGCGACGACCUGCGAGCCAGGAGACCUGCCGCGACGACCUGAACGUC